RNAcentral lists this ribosomal RNA (400 nucleotides) under uncultured bacterium. RNAcentral's name for it is "bacterial SSU rRNA". It matches the Rfam family "Bacterial small subunit ribosomal RNA", at positions 355 to 747 of the family's 1533-position model. The record is from RNAcentral.
UGGGGAAUAUUGCACAAUGGGCGCAAGCCUGAUGCAGCCAUGCCGCGUGUAUGAAGAAGGCCUUCGGGUUGUAAAGUACUUUCAGUAAGGAGGAAGGCAGUUGCGUUAAUAGCGUAAUUGUUUGACGUUACUUACAGAAGAAGCACCGGCUAACUCCGUGCCAGCAGCCGCGGUAAUACGGAGGGUGCGAGCGUUAAUCGGAAUUACUGGGCGUAAAGCGCAUGCAGGUGGUUUGUUAAGUCAGAUGUGAAAGCCCUGGGCUCAACCCGGGAAUUGCAUUUGAAACUGGCAAGCUAGAGUACUGUAGAGGGGGGUAGAAUUUCAGGUGUAGCGGUGAAAUGCGUAGAGAUCUGAAGGAAUACCGGUGGCGAAGGCGGCCCCCUGGACAGAUACUGACACU